AAAUAAACUAAGCUAAAGUGUAAUUAAGUGAGCUGAAUCUAAGGUAUCAUUAAGUGAGCUAAGUUAAAGUGCAACUAAAGGAAACUAAACCUAAAAAAUGGAUCUAAGUGAAUUAAGUUAAGGUGUCACUAAGUGAGCUAAGAUAAAGUACAACUAAAUGAGUUGAACCUAAAGUGCAACUAAAUGAGUCGAACCUAAAGUGCAACUAAAUGAGCUAAGCUAAGGUGUUACUAAGUGAGCUGAGUUAAGGUACAACUAAGUGAAUUAAACCCAAAAAUGUGUGAGCUAAAUUAGAGUGUCACUAUGUGAGCUAAGGUAAAGUGCAAUUAAAUGAGCUAAACCUAAAAU
This 348-nucleotide long non-coding RNA is filed under the name Vitis vinifera (wine grape). RNAcentral describes it as "long non-coding RNA (VVIN_LNC002692)". The record is from RNAcentral. Lineage: Eukaryota; Viridiplantae; Streptophyta; Magnoliopsida; Vitales; Vitaceae.